Molecule: unclassified non-coding RNA, 1761 nt
Filed under: Hevea brasiliensis (rubber tree)
Lineage: Eukaryota; Viridiplantae; Streptophyta; Magnoliopsida; Malpighiales; Euphorbiaceae
Source: RNAcentral
CAGCAAUGUACAGCUUCCCAGUAAAUAUCACAGUACCAGUAAGGGGCAGAGGGCCCUUUGCUUAAUCAUGAUGUCUUUGACUUGUUCUGGUAUGAACAGAGUAUAAAACCUAAAUUAUCCAGUUGGUAUUGAAGUACUUGCAGUUUGAAAAGCCAAAGAAAUUGGAACUUUUUCUCUCAAGGAAAUUUCACACUUGAUGACAAUGAUUCAUCAGUCAAGAGUUUUUAUUUUUGGCAAAUCAGCAUUUGAAUAAUUACCAAAAGACAAAAGGAGAAGCCUAACUAACAAUUUAACCAACAAAACACUACUGCCAUUAAAGCAAUCAACCCAAUCAUUGUUAAUAUAAAUCAAAAAUAAUAACAAAAUCUACUUCAAUACACAAAUGCAUCAUUCUAAAUUUAUAAUAAUCAGAUAAAUAUUAACUUUUUACUCCACCUGCAAAAUAAUUAAUCCAAGCUUCAAAGAGUAAUGCUUGGUUAAAUGGGCUCAAGCCUGGACUAUUAAUGAGAUGAUAACAUCUCUGACCUGAUACCUGCUAUAGCGUUCCUGCUAUCAAGAAUUCGAUUUUCCAGUACCAUCGGCCAAUUCACCAGAAUUCCCUGAUGAGUUUAGCUCAUCCCACGCGUCAAUCCAUGUUACCAUGGCAUCUGCUAGCUUGAUAAAGUAUUCAUCAACUUUACCAAGUUUUGCUCUGACUUGCUUGGAGAGUUCAAUGUAGCACUUCUGAACAGUGUUGCAGUCCUUAGGAAGGACUGCAGACUGAAAAAAUGGGAUCAGCUCUUCCUGCCAGUAGAUUCCUUUGUAUUCCUUCUUUAGGUUCACAAAUGGGUUGCUUGCUUUGCUGUGAUAGAUGUAAGGCAAUCCUGUCUUCACUCCAAAACCCAAGUGGUCACAUAUAACCUUAGUGCACCAGCCAGCCCACAUAUCAUCAUAGCGUCCAAUUGGCUGACCAUCGCCCAUGAGACCAAAGUACAUUGCAGGACCAAUCAAUUCCCGGUUGAACGCCAGAUUCAUACCACACAUGGGGAACAAGGUUCCCUUUGGUAUUGUCAUUACAGCAUCCACAUACCUGGUGUUCCUCUCAAGAGGCUUGACAAGCUGCGUGGGGGCAUCAUAAUCUGGAAUGUUGAGCCAAAGGCCAUGAGAUACAGCUGUGGGGACACCCUCACGAAGGCUAAACGGAUACCCACGGACAAAAUCUGCACCAUUUCGGUAUGGGUCAUACAGGGUGUUGAAGAAAAAUGGAGUGGAUGGACUCAGAAGGUUCUUUAUGUGCUGCUCAAGUGCAUUAAUAUCUUUGCCAGAAGGAUCUUUGGCAACAAAGCAGUCAUCAUCAAUGGUAUAAACAUACUUCUUCUUAGAAACCAAGUAGCCAAAGCACCUACAAGCAGAGUCCUUGAAGGAAAUACAAGAAGCUUUGGGACCAAGAAUCCUGUUAAUAUCAUUCCUGUUGUGGAGCUCAUAGUCGAAACCUUCAGGGACCUUAAUGGUCUUUGAAGGGUCACCGUCCUGGACAAUGAUGAGAUGGUAUGGCUGAAAGAAUGGCCUCCACAUCUCCAAGAAAUCGAGGUUUCUGAUGGUAGGGAUGACGAUGUCGAGCUCAUCUUUCAACAGAGGAGUCGGAGUCAGGGACACUGCUGUCUCGGCCAUUGUGGUGAGUGCUUUGGAUCAGAUAAAGAAAGAGAGUUGAAGUUGAAGAUUGAUUGUGGCUGUGAGUUAGUACUUGUAGUGAGAGAAAAUGUUUUGUACUGGGACUUGAGA